CACCGCCGUCACCCGGCUCCAGUCCGCGGCCUACGCGGCGCUCCGCGACGCCUUCGUCCGGGGCACGCCGUCGCUGCCCAGGUCCUCCGGGGUGUCGCUGUUCGACACGUGCUACGACCUGUCGGGCCGGACGAGCGUGGAGGUGCCCGCGGUGUCGCUGCGGUUCGAGGGCGGCGGGUCGCUGCGGCUGCCGGCGAAGAACUACCUGAUCCCAGUGGACGGCGCGGGCACCUACUGCCUGGCGUUCGCGCCGACGAACGCCGCCGUGUCCAUCAUCGGGAACGUGCAGCAGCAGGGCACCCGCGUCAGCUUCGACACCGCCAAGGGCGCCGUCGGCUUCACCCCCAACAAGUGCUAGCCUGGCACUG
Molecule: long non-coding RNA, 368 nt
Filed under: Setaria italica (foxtail millet)
Lineage: Eukaryota; Viridiplantae; Streptophyta; Magnoliopsida; Poales; Poaceae
Description: long non-coding RNA (SITA_LNC003499)
Source: RNAcentral